AAAGAUGGUCAUACCAUCCUAAAUGUGCCCAAUCUCAUCUAGUCUCAGAAGAUAAGCAGGGUCAGGCCUCAUUAGUACUUGGAUGGGAGACAAAUCUUCAAAAGAGACUUCUCAGAGACAAACAGUU
Molecule: ribosomal RNA, 127 nt
Filed under: Castor canadensis (American beaver)
Lineage: Eukaryota; Metazoa; Chordata; Mammalia; Rodentia; Castoridae
Source: RNAcentral